ACCGCUCAGUAACACGUGGAUAACCUACCCUGAAGCGGGGCAUAAUCUCGGAAAACUGAGGAUAAUACCCCAUAGGUCUUCGAUACUGGAAUGUUCCUAGGCUGAAAGCUACGGCGCUUCAGGAUGGGUCUGCGGCCUAUCAGGUUGCAGUGAGUGUAAUGGACUCACUAGCCGACGACGGGUACGGGCCAUGGGAGUGGUAGCCCGGAGAUGGAUUCUGAGACACGAAUCCAGGCCCUACGGGGCGCAGCAGGCGCGAAAACUUCGCAAUGCGCGAGAGCGCGACGAGGGGAUUCCAAGUGCAUGCACUCAGUGCAUGCUGUUUUCCAGUGUAAACAGCUGGGAGAGUAAGGGCUGGGUAAGACUGGUGCCAGCCGCCGCGGUAAUACCAGCGGCCCCUAGUGGUGAUCGUUAUUAUUGGGCCUAA
RNAcentral lists this ribosomal RNA (427 nucleotides) under uncultured archaeon. RNAcentral describes it as "bacterial SSU rRNA". It matches the Rfam family "Archaeal small subunit ribosomal RNA", at positions 85 to 513 of the family's 1478-position model. The record is from RNAcentral.